GUGAAACCGGCAACACGGACUGACGAUGCUAGAGCGGAACAGUAUAAAAUAUCAUUGUUGGUAGGAGGUCAAUUUGAAGACAGUGCGAGCUAAAAUACCAAAAUCAUUGAAGCUGCUAUUGAGAAUGCUGCUCUCAGUCUUUGGUUUAUCGCGGCAAAUGUGACUUCCUCCCCAACAAACUUCAAUGAUUUUGUGGGAUCACUUACAGCCGAGGCAAUAUGGAUCCACAACAAAGGCUUCAGCAAAUAGAAGAAGAAAGCGAGCUGUGGCGGAAACAUUUUGAGGAUGAGGAACGGCGUAUCGAUGAGGAAUACGCGCGCCGGCUAGCUGAGAUCGAUGCGGAAUUCGAAGAAGCUGCCAGGAGAAUUCGGUUGAAAUUCUAUGCAAGGAAGGAGGCAGCAAAAAGGCAGCUUAGUAAAGAUGAUGCAUCCGGAAAAUCGUCUAAACAAGUCUCCUGUACUACUAGCCAACAAAGCAGUGAAUCCAUUGCACAUCAACCACAAUCAGUACUUCAAUCAAAUUCAAUAGAGGCAUCUGUAGAGGUGCACAAUAAUAAUACAAGAUCGUCAUCAGAGAGAAUACAAUCGUCUGUGCCACAACAUUUGUUAUCAGUCUCUUGUGGUCAGAAUGAACAUUCACUGAAAACAGCAUUGCGGUAAAAAUUACCAUGUUGAUGGUUUAAAUUAAAUGCACAGCACCACUUGAUUUGUGCAGACUACCCAUUGCAUUUAUUUCAAGAAUAAUAAAUGGUGUUGUUUACCAUGGUGAGAGCGCAAUGCAAAAGCAGUAAAAUUAACCGCGUUCCAUGGUAAAUUUGAACGCAAGCAAAAGUCGAAGCUUCUACUAUGAGUUGCGUUUAAAACUACAACAUAUGUGUAUUUAGCUUCAUUAAUAUUUAUGAUUCUAAAAUAUUUUAAAACAUUAGCAAGAUCCUUACACAAUGUAUCUGAACUUGUAAAUUUCCGGAAUACAUGACAGAUUAAAAUUUACUGUCGGUAAUCCGCAAAAUUGCAAAUCCAAAUACAUUAUGUAUGAAUCUUUAAGUUAAUAAUAGAAUUCAAUUCUUACGGCUAAAGCAUUGUUUAUUAAUCAAUAGGUUUUUGCAAAACUAGUUGCAUUAUUAUAUUAUAAAAGGUAAGAAUUUAAUGUUCUUCUCCUAGCGAAGUUGCCAAGCUGCACUUAAUGCUUGUGUUUUAUCUAUUAUUUCUUGGUUCACAAGCUCCUUGCCAUUUGGAGAAAUUUUGAGCUACGGGGUUUCGUUUGUACAAUGUCCUGUAAAAUCGUGUUUGUUAGAAAUUGGAAAAUAUUGAAUGUAUUGCAACCUACCGAUAGAAGUAAAAACAGAGUAGAUCGUCGCUCAAUUUUGUAACAUAAAAAAUGCAGCAGGACGUGACCUAUAGAAUAUUUUUGUUGUAAAUACUAGCCAAAAUCAACCUCUAUUUGCUUACCAUCACUGUGUUGAUCAAACUAGCUCUGUGCAAAAUAAAUAUUAUUAGUUUUGAAUAAUUA
Molecule: long non-coding RNA, 1509 nt
Organism: Aedes aegypti (yellow fever mosquito)
Lineage: Eukaryota; Metazoa; Arthropoda; Insecta; Diptera; Culicidae
Exons: 2
Source: RefSeq, a predicted model, not a curated record